UGGGGAAUAUUGCACAAUGGGGGAAACCCUGAUGCAGCGACGUCGCGUGAGCGAAGAAGGCCUUCGGGUCGUAAAGCUCUGUCCUAUGGGAAGAAAAAAAUGACGGUACCUACAGAAGAAGCAACGGCUAAAUACGUGCCAGCAGCCGCGGUAAUACGUAUGUUGCGAGCGUUAUCCGGAAUUAUUGGGCUUAAAGGGCAUCUAGGCGGUAAGACAAGUUGAAGGUGAAAACCUGUGGCUCAACCAUAGGCUUGCCUACAAAACUGUUGAACUAGAGUACUGGAAAGGUGGGUGGAACUACACGAGUAGAGGUGAAAUUCGUAGAUAUGUGUAGGAAUGCCGAUGAUGAAGAUAACUCACUGGACAGAAACUGACGCUGAAGUGCGAAAGCUAGGGGAGCAAACAGG
This 407-nucleotide ribosomal RNA is filed under the name Verrucomicrobiota bacterium. RNAcentral describes it as "Verrucomicrobia bacterium partial 16S ribosomal RNA". It matches the Rfam family "Bacterial small subunit ribosomal RNA", at positions 355 to 776 of the family's 1533-position model. Lineage: Bacteria; Pseudomonadati; Verrucomicrobiota. The record is from RNAcentral.